This 63-nucleotide transfer RNA is filed under the name Diploptera punctata (Pacific beetle cockroach). Its description in RNAcentral is "tRNA-Arg". The record is from RNAcentral. Lineage: Eukaryota; Metazoa; Arthropoda; Insecta; Blattodea; Blaberidae.
GAAUUAGAAGCAAUAAUGUGAUUAGUUUCGACCUAAUUUUUGGUAUUAAUUUACCCUAAUUCU